RNAcentral lists this ribosomal RNA (497 nucleotides) under uncultured bacterium. RNAcentral describes it as "partial 16S ribosomal RNA". It matches the Rfam family "Bacterial small subunit ribosomal RNA", at positions 28 to 507 of the family's 1533-position model. The record is from RNAcentral.
GAUGAACGCUGGCGGCGUGCCUAACACAUGCAAGUCGAGCGGACGGACGAGAAGCUCUCUUAUUUGAUGUUAGCGGCGGACGGGCGAGUAACUCAUGGAUAACCAACCUAUAAUUCUGGGCUAACUACGGGGAACCGGAGCUAAUACCGGAUGAUAUUUUGAACUGCAUGGCUCAAAAGUGAAAGACGGUCUUGCUGUCACUUAUAGAUGGAUCCGCGCUGCAUUAGAUAGUUGGUAAGGUAACGGCUUACCAAGGCAACGAUGCAUAGCCGACCUGAGAGGGUGAUAGGCCACACUGGAACUGAGACACGGUCCAGACUCCUACGGGAGGCAGCAGUAGGGAAACGUCCGCAAUGGGCGAAAGCUUGACGGAGCAACGCCGAGUGAGUGAUGAAGGUCUUCGGAUCGGAAAACUCUGUUAUUAGUGAAGAACAUAUGUGUAGGUAACUGUGCACAUCUUGACGGUACCUAAUCAAAAAGCCACGGCUAACUACGUG